This 486-nucleotide ribosomal RNA is filed under the name Triticum aestivum (bread wheat). RNAcentral's name for it is "partial small subunit ribosomal RNA". The record is from RNAcentral. Lineage: Eukaryota; Viridiplantae; Streptophyta; Magnoliopsida; Poales; Poaceae.
AUGAAGACGAGGAGGAGGAGGAGGAAGAGACUCCUCCCCCUCCAGCGGGGGAAGGGAAGAAAAGGAAGGCCGCCCCAACUAGGGAGGCCGAAGGGUCCAAGAAGGGGAAAACCCUUCCUCCGGACUACUCCACCGAUGCCGAAGACGGCGGAAAGGAGUGGCCGCUCAGGGCCAAGCCCCUGGCUAAAUCGUAAUUAUCCGGAUACCAGAGUAAUUCAUAGUAUUCCUUUAUUGCACAACUUUCUCUUAUGUCGAAUAUGUUUAUGCAGCCCACCUAAAGACCGGCUCGACACGUCGUCGAGCGGUUCACUGGACUCCGAGCGGGAGAAGUAUGAGGCCGAGGUUGGCAAGGUGCGGCAAGAGCUCCAGGCUCUUAUGGAAAAACAUGAGAGUUUGGAGCUUGACUCAAAGACGCGGGCGUCCAAGCUUGCGGUGGCUAUUGAAAAUGCCAAGUCUGCCAAGGCUGAAUCCCAGAAGACCCUCUAG